This 212-nucleotide long non-coding RNA is filed under the name Mytilus galloprovincialis (Mediterranean mussel). Lineage: Eukaryota; Metazoa; Mollusca; Bivalvia; Mytilida; Mytilidae. The record is from RNAcentral.
GUGUAUUUUGGUACUCUCGAUGUUUUUUUCCCAAUAAGAUUUACUCAGUGUUUAUUUUAAAGCUUGAAGAUGGCACUUUUAAGAUUUAUCAAAAUAGCUAAAUAUAAAAUGUCCAUUUAAGUCUUUUACCAAUUUUUCUUAACCUGUUUUGAUCUACGGUCAAGAUCAUUGUACAUUGCGAAAGUUCAAAACCUUUUGAAAUAAACACUUCG